GAUGCCUAGCCUCACUGAUGAGAAAAUAAAGUGACUUGCCCAUAGCCACAACAAGAAUGAUGUAGGCAGCAGAAACAGAAUGGCAGCCAGGGUGGCAAGCUGUUUUCAGUGGAUAUGAUAUACACACUUGCCCAAAAGAGUGAAGUCUCAGCUGAAUGGCAGGAAUCUUGCUGCAGGAUGUUUGCUUCAAGGAAACCAGAUGUAUUUUUCCCAGAACCAACCCAAGAAGAUCAGCGGCAGAGACUCUGUCACGCAAAUCCCGUCACGUGACUAGCAUUUUCACUUUCCAACUACUGUGAAGCCUGAAGCACCUGAACUCUAACGUUAGCUAGCUAAUGAUGAUAGGCAACUUGCACUAAUUUUGAUCACAUAACUUUUUGGGUGCCAAAGUAUGGUCUUCUUGAAUAAAAGUUGAUAAAGUAGAACAUGUCCACUUUGAGUCAAUGGUUUUAUAACAAACCCUUCAAGCGGUCGAUAAGUCCAUUAUGCUUAAUAUAGAUAUCAAGCGGUGACAACACGUCAUCAAAUUAACCAUAUAGCUACAGAAAAGACUGUCUAUAUUCAACCAGGUCAAGAGACUCCAAGUAAUCGUC
Molecule: long non-coding RNA, 593 nt
Organism: Nematostella vectensis (starlet sea anemone)
Lineage: Eukaryota; Metazoa; Cnidaria; Anthozoa; Actiniaria; Edwardsiidae
Exons: 2
Source: RefSeq, a predicted model, not a curated record